RNAcentral lists this ribosomal RNA (1631 nucleotides) under Vibrio cholerae. Its description in RNAcentral is "partial 23S ribosomal RNA". It matches the Rfam family "Bacterial large subunit ribosomal RNA", at positions 1313 to 2925 of the family's 2925-position model. Lineage: Bacteria; Pseudomonadati; Pseudomonadota; Gammaproteobacteria; Vibrionales; Vibrionaceae. The record is from RNAcentral.
UAUAGGGGGUGAAAAACCUCCUCGCCGGAAGACCAAGGGUUCCUGUCCAACGUUAAUCGGGGCAGGGUGAGUCGACCCCUAAGGUGAGGCCGAAAGGCGUAAUCGAUGGGAAACGGGUUAAUAUUCCCGUACUUCUGACUAUUGCGAUGGGGGGACGGAGAAGGCUAGGUGGGCCAGGCGACGGUUGUCCUGGUUCAAGUGCGUAGGCUUGAGAGUUAGGUAAAUCCGGCUCUCUCUAAGGCUGAGACACGACGUCGAGCUGCUACGGCAGUGAAGUCAUUGAUGCCAUGCUUCCAGGAAAAGCCUCUAAGCUUCAGAUAGUCAGGAAUCGUACCCCAAACCGACACAGGUGGUCGGGUAGAGAAUACCAAGGCGCUUGAGAGAACUCGGGUGAAGGAACUAGGCAAAAUGGUACCGUAACUUCGGGAGAAGGUACGCUCUUGAUGGUGAAGUCCCUCGCGGAUGGAGCUGACGAGAGUCGCAGAUACCAGGUGGCUGCAACUGUUUAUUAAAAACACAGCACUGUGCAAAAUCGCAAGAUGACGUAUACGGUGUGACGCCUGCCCGGUGCCGGAAGGUUAAUUGAUGGGGUUAGCGCAAGCGAAGCUCUUGAUCGAAGCCCCGGUAAACGGCGGCCGUAACUAUAACGGUCCUAAGGUAGCGAAAUUCCUUGUCGGGUAAGUUCCGACCUGCACGAAUGGCGUAAUGAUGGCCACGCUGUCUCCACCCGAGACUCAGUGAAAUUGAAAUCGCUGUGAAGAUGCAGUGUACCCGCGGCUAGACGGAAAGACCCCGUGAACCUUUACUACAGCUUGGCACUGAACAUUGAACCUACAUGUGUAGGAUAGGUGGGAGGCUAUGAAGACGUGACGCCAGUUGCGUUGGAGNCGUCCUUGAAAUACCACCCUUGUAUGUUUGAUGUUCUAACUUAGACCCAUUAUCUGGGUUGAGGACAGUGCCUGGUGGGUAGUUUGACUGGGGCGGUCUCCUCCCAAAGAGUAACGGAGGAGCACGAAGGUGGGCUAAUCACGGUUGGACAUCGUGAGGUUAGUGCAAUGGCAUAAGCCCGCUUAACUGCGAGAAUGACGGUUCGAGCAGGUGCGAAAGCAGGUCAUAGUGAUCCGGUGGUUCUGUAUGGAAGGGCCAUCGCUCAACGGAUAAAAGGUACUCCGGGGAUAACAGGCUGAUACCGCCCAAGAGUUCAUAUCGACGGCGGUGUUUGGCACCUCGAUGUCGGCUCAUCACAUCCUGGGGCUGAAGUCGGUCCCAAGGGUAUGGCUGUUCGCCAUUUAAAGUGGUACGCGAGCUGGGUUUAGAACGUCGUGAGACAGUUCGGUCCCUAUCUGCCGUGGGCGUUGGAAGAUUGAAGGGGGCUGCUCCUAGUACGAGAGGACCGGAGUGGACGAACCUCUGGUGUUCGGGUUGUGUCGCCAGACGCAUUGCCCGGUAGCUAAGUUCGGAAUUGAUAAGCGCUGAAAGCAUCUAAGCGCGAAGCGAGCCCUGAGAUGAGUCUUCCCUGACAGUUUAACUGUUCUAAAGGGUUGUUCGAGACUAGAACGUUGAUAGGCAGGGUGUGUAAGCGUUGUGAGGCGUUGAGCUAACCUGUACUAAUUGCCCGUGAGGCUUAACCA